This 253-nucleotide ribosomal RNA is filed under the name uncultured bacterium. RNAcentral's name for it is "partial 16S ribosomal RNA". It matches the Rfam family "Bacterial small subunit ribosomal RNA", at positions 524 to 776 of the family's 1533-position model. The record is from RNAcentral.
UACGUAGGGGGCGAGCGUUGUCCGGAUUUAUUGGGCGUAAAGAGCGUGUAGGCGGCUAGGAAGGUCCGCUGUGAAAACUCGGGGCUCAACCCCGAGAGGUCGGUGGAAACCAUCUGGCUAGAGUACGGAAGAGGCGAGUGGAAUUCCUGGUGUAGCGGUGGAAUGCGCAGAUAUCAGGAGGAACACCAAUAGCGAAGGCAGCUCGCUGGGACGUUACUGACACUGAGGCGCGAAAGCGUGGGGAGCGAACAGG